UACGUAGGGAGCAAGCGUUGUCCGGAAUCAUUGGGCGUAAAGCGCGCGUAGGUGGCCUCAUAAGUCCGCUGUGAAAGUCAAAGGCUCAACCUUUGAAAGCCGGUGGAUACUGUGAGGCUAGAGUACGGAAGAGGCGAGUGGAAUUCCUGGUGUAGCGGUGGAAUGCGCAGAUAUCAGGAGGAACACCAAUAGCGAAGGCAGCUCACUGGGACGUAACUGACGCUGAGGCACGAAGGCCAGGGGAGCAAACGGG
Molecule: ribosomal RNA, 253 nt
Filed under: uncultured bacterium
Lineage: Bacteria
Description: partial 16S ribosomal RNA
Rfam family: Bacterial small subunit ribosomal RNA
Source: RNAcentral